GCAGCACUUGUAGGGUAGGGCCUGGGAAGCUGUUCCUUUUGGCCGACUUCUUCCUGGCGCCUCACCCUGCACCCAG
This 76-nucleotide microRNA precursor is filed under the name Vicugna pacos (alpaca). RNAcentral describes it as "miRNA (ENSVPAG00000017892.1)". The record is from RNAcentral. Lineage: Eukaryota; Metazoa; Chordata; Mammalia; Artiodactyla; Camelidae.